GGACCGGACUCCCCAACUCCCCACCACCCCACUCCCCACCCACCAGGAGAGACCCUGCUCUCCCUUCUCCCAGCCCACACCCUCCUGCAGGCCCUUUCUGCGCUCCGGCCCCACCUUGCCUCCAGCUCCUGUUCCUUCACAGUUCUCCCUUGUACGCCUGACUUCUCAUCUCCUUCCAUCUGACUCCACCCUGUCCUUCCUAAAUCAUUCUCCAGACUCCAUGUCUUUCGGCAGCCAAAGGCCGGAGGAGCCCCUCAGAGCAGGGAGAUGGGAGCAGCCACAGAUGAAGUGCAGGCGUUCUUUAAGAGGCAAAGAGAGAUCCAGAGUCACCCCUUUUCUUCCCUGCAAGGACCCCACGCAGCCCUGGGCUAUGAUCCAUUUAUCAAGAGCUGCUGUGAGUGUGGGCAGAGACGCAGAACUGGUGCCAGGGCCUCAGAAACACUCGGGCAGCAUGAGAAGCCUCAGGAUGAGAGCAAGAGGAAGCUGCUCCAUCACUCGGUCUUCCAGAUUGGUUAUAUAUUCCCUGUCUUCUGGAAAGAAAGAGAGAGAAGACAAACCAACAAGAGAUCCUCCUGACUCCAUCCACCCUCAACCACAGGCCAGAGAAACUUUCCAAGAUGGGAAAUCACAGCUGAAGCCGGUUGUGUCGAUCAGAAAAUCUGGGUGUAAUGUCAUUAGAAAAACCAGAGUCUCCUCGCAUGAACCUUUGCCUGGAACCUCUCCCUGCCCCUUGGUCCAUGCGCUCCUCUCUGCCCAAGUCACAACAGCAGUCGACAGCUUGGAUGGAGCUGUACAGCGUGCUAAGCUAAGUACUCCUACGCCCAGCCCUGAGGAUGAGUUAUUGUCAGCUCCACCCAGCAGAGGCCAGACAGAGGCCCUGGGAGGCCGUGGGGGCUGACCACAGUUGUGCAACCAAUAAGGAAACUGAGGCUCAGAAAGGGUAAAUAAAUGACCUCACUUCACAUCAAUUAAGCAUUCAACCCAAGACAUCUGUGCCUUCUUCUCCGUCAUGCCGCCGCUAGCCUGCUCUGCGUCUGCUUGUGCCACGGACAUACCUGGUGAAGCCGAUGGGCCUCUUGUCAGACUGAAAAAUUAUGUGUUGUUUCUCCAAAAUGAAAUUGCCUGGGAGUCCCUUAUGCUACCUGGCACCCCUCCUGGAGGAGACCAGCUAUGGACCUGGCCUCGUGACCAGAGCCAGCUCUUUCUUUUCUCAACCUCAGUUUCCACCUGCAAGAAGUCAAUUUAAUUCUUUAAAAUCCACGUGUGUGAACUGGGCACCACCCACCAUGGGGCACAGCUGCCUGUAGGGUCUCGUAGUCUAAAGGUGGAGGCUGAAAUAUACGUAAGUAAGAGGCUGGGAAAGGGCAAAAAUGGCAGAGGAGGGUGGGAGUUGGGGACAGGUAAUUGGCAGGCUGCUGCUAGGGGAGCGGGGGCAGAGGGAGAUAGGAGGGCACAUGCAAGUGAGACUACAGCAGGAUCUCAAGGACGUGGAGAGGCAAACGCUGGGAGGACCUCCUGGGAUGGCAUGAGCAAGGCCCCCUGGGGAGGGUCCUGGUUCAACCUGGGAGUGGCAUGUGCAGCUGGAGGGCAGGGCACCUGGGGCUUGGGGUCUACCGAGACAGGGAGAAAGGGACGUGGCAUGAGAGAGAGGCAGAGGUCAGCUUGAAGGCCUUGAUGGCUCCAUUAGCAGGAGCGUGGCAGACUCCACUGGCCACCUGGGGCGCAGGUGGAAAUAGAGCCGCCAUGGCAAGGACACUGCUGCCUCAGCUUUGGGAGGAAAUGAGGCUGCGACUGGGCAGUUGGAAGGCAGCCUCCGAGGUGGACAGAGCUCUAGCUGGAGACAGGAGCCCUGGGUGGCUUUGCCAGUUACUCAGGGCAGGACUCUGGGCCACACUUGGCACAUACGAGGAACAGCCAGGAGCCAAUGUGGCUGGAGCAGAGUGCGUGUGCAGAGCAGGUCACACAGGGCCUUGUGGGCCCUUGGCAGGACUCUGGCUUGUAUCCUGAAGGUUCGUCAUCUGAGCAGAGCCUUGACAUGCUCUGAUUCAAGCACUAAAUGGAUAACUGCUCGGUGAGAAAAACAGACUUCGGGGGCAGAGCUUGUGCCCAACGCUGCCAGGCAGCACAUGUGGAAUACCAGGGAGCUGCACUGGCAGGGCCUCACCCUCAAAGCACUUGCAGUGUGUUGGGAAAAAAGACAAGGCAGCGUGGAGUAGCAGUUAGGAGCCAGGGCUUUCAAGACAGGCGAACCUGGGCUCGAGUUUCCCACUACUGCUUCCCAGCCUAGAAAGUUCUUUAAGUUCUCAGUGACCUCAACAGACACACAGUAAUGGCAGCACUCACCUGGGGGGAUCAUGGUGGGGUGCCCGCCACAUGUUCACUCUGCCCCUGCCCAAAGUGUGCUGAAAAAAAACAAAACAGUAGCUGCAGCCGUGGUUCAGAUCAUAAUGAGAGUAGCAUGCAGUGGGUUGUAGGGACGCAGGUGAGGAGUUGGCAAUGGUGGAGGGAGGCUAAGCCGGACCCAGGAGCUGGAGGAG
Long non-coding RNA from Microcebus murinus (gray mouse lemur), 2537 nucleotides. The record is from Ensembl. NCBI's taxonomy places the organism in Eukaryota, Metazoa, Chordata, Mammalia, Primates, Cheirogaleidae.